This 1237-nucleotide long non-coding RNA is filed under the name Macaca fascicularis (crab-eating macaque). Its description in RNAcentral is "lncRNA (ENSMFAG00000050042.1)". The record is from RNAcentral. Lineage: Eukaryota; Metazoa; Chordata; Mammalia; Primates; Cercopithecidae.
GUGGCUGACGCCUGCAAUCCCAACAAUUUGGGAGGCCAAGGUGGGCAGAUUACUUGACGUCAGGAGUUUGAGAUCAGCCUUGCCAAUAUGGCGAAACCCUGUUUCUACUAAAAAUACAAAAAUUAGCUGGGCAUGGUGGUGGGCACCUGUAAUCCCAGUUACCCAGGAGGCUGAGACAGGAGAAUCACUUGAACCUGGGAGGCGGAGGUUGUAGUGAGCCAAAAUUGUACCAUUGCACUCCAGCCUGGGUGACAAGAGCAAAACUCUGUCUCAAUUGAAAAAAAAAAGACAUAUGGAUACAAACAGCCAAUAAACAUGAAAAAAAAAUGCUCAACAUCACUAAUUAUCAGGGAAAUGCAAAUGAACACCACAAUGAACUACCACAGUACUCCUGCAAGAAUGGCCGUAAUUAAAAAGUCAAAAAAUAAUAGAUGUUGAUGUGGAUGUGGUGAAAAGGGAACACUUUUACUCUGCUAGUGGGAAUGUAAACUAGUACAACCACUAUGAAAAACAGUGUGGAGAUACCUUAGAGAACUAAAAAUAGAGCUACCAUUUCCAUCCAGAAAUCCCAUUGCUGGGUAUCUACCAAAAGGAAAAGAAGUUAUUAUAUGAAUAAGACACCUGCAUGCAUAUGGGUAUAGCAGCACAGUUCACAACUGCCAAAAUAUGGAACUAAUCAUAUUCAAUCAACCAUGUUCCGAAAUGUGGAACCAACCAUAUUCAAUCAAUGCGUGGAUAAAGAAAAUGUGGUAUAUAUACACCAUGGAAUACCACUCAGCCAUAAAAAAGGAUGAGAUGUCUUUUGCAGCAACUUGGAUGGAGCUGGAGACCAUUAUUCUAAGUGAAGUAACUCAGGAAUGGAAAAACCAAAUACCGUAUGUUCUCACUUAUAAGUGGGAGCUAAGCUAUGAAGAUGCAAAGGCAUAAGAAUGACAUAAUGGGGGCCGGGUGUGGUGGCUCAUGCCUGUAAUCCCAGCACUUUGGGAGGCUUAGGUGGACGGAUGGUGAGGUCAAGAGAUCGAGACCAUCCUGGCCAACAUGGUGAAACCCCAUCUCUACUAAAAAUACAAAUUAGCUGGGCAUAGUGGUGCACACCUGUAAUCCCAGCUACUUGGGAGGUUGAGGCAGGAGAAUCGCUUGAACCUGGGAGGAAGAGGUUGCAGUGAGCCGAGAUUAUGCCACUGCACUCCAGCCUGGGCUACUCCGUCUCAAAAAAAAAAAAAAAAAAAAAAAAAAA